Molecule: long non-coding RNA, 435 nt
Filed under: Polistes fuscatus (common paper wasp)
Lineage: Eukaryota; Metazoa; Arthropoda; Insecta; Hymenoptera; Vespidae
Description: uncharacterized LOC122519963
Source: RNAcentral
AAAAAGACGAGUGAGUUUCUCUCCACAAUGCAGUUGCAUAUUUAUCGAGACCGUUUGAGUCUUGAGACAUCGUACCUGAAGAUGUAGAGGGAAUAUCACAGCACAUUCCUGGAAGUCAUAAAACUAGCAAACAAACAGAUCAAAUAACCAAGGUAUAACUUUCUAUUGCUAUAUAAUUUCCACUACCACAUCUACGGAAAACAUCAAUCUUCUGCAUCGAUAGAUUAUGGAGGUGGACUUACCUGCUCUAUUGGACAGUCAACUUAGAGAAGGGAUAUAACAACAUCAAGCAGCACAUCAUCAGAACAUUAACUCAACAAUCAUCAGAUCUGCAGAACGAAUCACAGCAGCAAUCAAUAUCAUAGCAACAUACAAUGGCAUUUAACGAUAAAUAAAGAACAAAAGAAACGAUCAAGGCAACGGUAGUUCAACAAA